UAUUGAAAACUAUAAAAAGUAUUUAAUAACAAAAUAAAAUUAUAUAGAUUGAUAAAAAUAUAUUCUUUUCAAAUAAUUAUAUAAUUAAUAAAGAUAAUAUUCAAGGAUGUCAUAUUUUUUAAAUAAAAAAUAUCCUCAUAUAUCUGUACCGGUUGUGUGCUAAUAUAGUACAUGAAUAUUAGUUAAAUAUUCAAAUUUUUAUUCCCCAU
RNAcentral lists this long non-coding RNA (209 nucleotides) under Elaeis guineensis (African oil palm). Its description in RNAcentral is "long non-coding RNA (EGUI_LNC016012)". The record is from RNAcentral. Lineage: Eukaryota; Viridiplantae; Streptophyta; Magnoliopsida; Arecales; Arecaceae.